RNAcentral lists this long non-coding RNA (2288 nucleotides) under Homo sapiens (human). Its description in RNAcentral is "HSALNT0053708". Lineage: Eukaryota; Metazoa; Chordata; Mammalia; Primates; Hominidae. The record is from RNAcentral.
UUUAUAGAUUUGGUGCUAUUGAGGCUCAGAAGGAUGAAUUGCCCAUCCAGAAUCUUAAGAAAUAGAAUGAGAUUUGAAUCCAGAUCAAUUUUGAAUCUUCAUUUCCAGCUGCUGCUUCUUCUCCCUCCUCCCCUGGUUUCCCAGUUCUUAAUUCUUGUUCACAAUCUCAUUCCUACCCUCUUCCCUCUACCAUUCCCUCUUUAGGCUUUUGGAAACUUUGAUUCAAGAAAUAGAGCGGUUGGUAAUAAUCUCUGAUGAUCAGUCCGAGCUUGGCAUUUUCAUUUCACCUCAAUGUGCCCAGGUGAAAUGAUGUUAAUGGGAAGGAAAAGGGGAAAAUUAUGAUUUCAAGAACAGUCAUGAUGAGAACAGACAUAUGCCAGCGAACAAAAUCCUGUGCCUUUUGUGAGCCUGACAGCUGCCUUCAGUCCUGCUGGUCUGACCCCUGUAGUGACAUCAGGAAGAGUCCAGAAAGCAUCAGCAUUCCACUCCCACUUUCCCAGUGCAGCCAGGAAAAGGCCUAGUCACCAAGGAGGGCCUGCUUCCAGUUCUGUUUUUCCCAAGUCACUCACUGACAGGAGCUGAGGCCCAUAAUCAGAGGAAGCAAAAACGCUUCUCCCCUUAUUGCCAAGGGAAUCGCCAGGGGAUGCAGAGUGGCUCCAGGAGGAAAAUUAUGCUGAGCUGAGGCUUAGCCAUGGAGGAAGGCCCAAGGGCAUCAUCUAUGAACGUGUACGGGGUCACCUAGGCUUUUACAUGUGUACGAUGCUCGGUGUUUUGUUGUUGGGGGAUUUUAUAAUUACCCAAAUUACCUUGCUUCAACCUAUUUAGCAAUUCAUUUAAAGGAACUCUCCUAAUACGUGAAAGACCAGAAAAGACAGCUGAUUAGAAAUUCCAAUGGCCGGGUAUGGUGGCUCACACCUGUAAUCCCAGCACAUUGGGAGGCCAAGGAGGGAGAAUCACUUGAGGUCUGGAGUUCAAGUCCAGCCUGGCCAACAUGGUGAAACCCUGUCUCUACUAAAAAUACAAAAACAUUAACUGGGGGUGUUGGUGCAUGCCUGUAGGCCCAGCUACUUGGGAGGCGGAGGUGGGAGAAUUUCUUGAACCUGGAAAGCAGAGGCUGUAGUGAGCUGAGAUGGCACCACUGCACUCCAGCCUUCCAGCCUGGGUGACAGAGCAAGACUCCAUCUCAAAAAAAAAAAAAAAAAAAGAAAGAAAAGAAAAGAAAGAGAGAGAAAAGAAAAAUCUAAUAGGGGACACAGGAAUUUUCUUUUAUUUGCCUAAGAACAAAAGACAAGGAAACAUUAUAAUAAUCAAAAUAAUCCCAGAAAAGGUAGUGGAAAAAUGGACUGGACCAAGAUGAUAUUGAAGGACCUUCCCAAUAACUGAACUGCAUUCAAGGUACUUAGUCUCUUGAAUGUGAGCCAGUGGCCCCUCCAUGGUAAAUAUAAAGUUUGGGGGUCUGUGAAUCCACAGAUGCUCCAGAUUACAUAUGGGGAAAGAGAGAGUCGCUUAGUAAGGCAACAAAGGUGAAUAAUUGUUCAAAAUAUCUAGUGGCAUCUUCAGUCAUGGUCGUUUGGCAUGGAGGCAAGCGGAGUGGGAUUUUCAAUCUCUUUCCUCUCUUCUAAAUGGAAAUUAAGCUAACAGUAUUCAAGGGAAGAAAUGUUCACAGACUCUGAGGACCUAACGUGGCAAAAGUUAGACUCAGAAUUUCCCACAGCCAAGUUUGUGGUAGUGGAAGCUUCUGGUAAAGUAGGCCUUGGGUUUUACAAAGUCAGGUACCCCUUACUAGAGGAAAGCAACAUUGGGAAUUAUCCAGAUCAUCCAGAAGACAAAGGCAAAACUAUGUGGUUGUCACAUCACUGCUGAUGACCUUUAAUGAAUUCUCCAAUUUACCUACCUGGGAGAGGCUUUGCAUGGAUUAGUCAAGCCACACAAUCACUACCUAACCCUCCCUGAUGGAAGGAACUGAGCCUCCCUUUAAAUGAGUGUGAAUUUCUGAAGGGCAAGGCCUGGGUCACUUGCCUUCAGCACACGGCCCAUGCUCAGAGUCUGUUAGCUGAAAGGAAAAAGGGAAGUGGAGGCUGCCAGGAAUACUCAACCUCCCCCACUCUUCCUCUUGCCACCUUACUUUCAUCUUGCUCCCUACUCACAGAUGACUCCGGGGCCUUGUUCCUCAAAACCAUAUUACCUACCAUUGGGAUUUGGUUUGUGUCACAAUUUUUCAGAUAAUCAUAUCCAAGAGACCUCCAAAGUAAAAGGUUAGUGGCAAACACAGAUGUGGAAUAAAUUGU